Molecule: transfer RNA, 84 nt
Organism: Yarrowia lipolytica
Lineage: Eukaryota; Fungi; Ascomycota; Dipodascomycetes; Dipodascales
Rfam family: tRNA
About the family: Transfer RNA (tRNA) molecules are approximately 80 nucleotides in length. Their secondary structure includes four short double-helical elements and three loops (D, anti-codon, and T loops).
Source: Rfam
GGCAGAUUGGCCGAGUGGUUUAAGGCGGCAGACUUAAGAUCUGCUGAACGCAAGUUCUCGUGGGUUCGAACCCCACAUCUGUCA